RNAcentral lists this ribosomal RNA (326 nucleotides) under uncultured eukaryote. RNAcentral's name for it is "partial 18S ribosomal RNA". It matches the Rfam family "Eukaryotic small subunit ribosomal RNA", at positions 1470 to 1796 of the family's 1831-position model. The record is from RNAcentral.
CCCUUAGAUGUUCUGGGCCGCACGCGCGCUACACUGAUUCAUGCAACAAGUUUUGUCCUUGGCUGAUAGGCCUGGGUAAUCUUUGAACGUGAAUCGUGAUGGGGAUAGAUGAUUGCAAUUAUUCAUCUUCAACGAGGAAUUCCUAGUAAACGCAAGUCAUCAGCUUGCAUUGAUACGUCCCUGCCCUUUGUACACACCGCCCGUCGCACCUACCGAUUGAAUGGUCCGGUGAAAUCUUCGGAUCUGAGAGAUGUCUGAUUAAUUUCGGACGCCUUUUGGAAAAGUUGUUUAAACCUUACCAUUUAGAGGAAGGUGAAGUCGUAACA